UGUUAAGUUUUCAGCUUUUCUAAUGAGUUAACACGCUGUGCUGGGUGCCCUGUGAGCAUCAGGGAGCACUUUUGAGAAAGGAGCGUGCACAGGCAGAAGGAAAGGAGGAGGCUGGGAACAUGGGGUGGGGAAUUGUCCUCUCCAUUUCUGUGACAGAAAGCUCUUAUCUUGUCUCAAAUCAUCUUGUUACAUCAUACUCUGAAAGACAGGAAAGAAUAAAAAUCAUCGCCUCCAGAGGGCUGUUUCUCAGAAGACCCAUGGAUGACCCUUUCCUGCCCACGGGGAGCUGCUGACGCUUCUCCUUACAGUGCUUCUAAAUGAGAAAUUAAGAAUGAUGGGGAAUGUCAAGUGUAGCACUCUACAGUUUGCUUCCUGCUCCAGUCCAGCUCUUUUCUGAAAUAAGGGCACUAUCCAGUACAAGCCUGCCACUGGUAAUGAAGCACAAUUCCUACAUCAUCUCUAACUUGUGGGAAUGAACUUGGACACCCCUUCAGCAGAUGGUGAAGCAGUACCAUGAUAUUCUCUGCCUCAAAGACUCAACAUCUUAAUUUACAGCUUUGGUUAAGUUUAUUUUCAUUUUCUUCAUAACUAAUUUUAUGCAAAUUGGCAUGUUUCAGUAGCAAGCACUCCAUUUCUGUUAAUUCAGCAGCAGUGUGUACAGUGUGUACCAUUGCAGUAUGCUGUUAUUUUAGCAGAACUGGAAUCCAAACAUUGUACAAGCACAGUAAAUAUAAACCCCAUUUUCAAGCAUGCUCUUAGAACAGUGCUUCUCUCUUCUGUGCUACAACAGAUUUCUUUCAUUUCUUACUGCUAUUGCAUUCUAAAUAAUAAAUAAAUAAGUAAAUAAA
Vidua macroura (Pin-tailed whydah) is the source of this 848-nucleotide long non-coding RNA. RefSeq lists it as uncharacterized. Lineage: Eukaryota; Metazoa; Chordata; Aves; Passeriformes; Viduidae. The record is from RefSeq and is a predicted model, not a curated record. The transcript has 2 exons.